AGAGUUUGAUCCUGGCUCAGAACGAACGCUGGCGGCGCGUUUUAAGCAUGCAAGUCGAGCGGCAGGGGGGCUUCGGUCCCCCGAGAGCGGCGGACGGGUGAGUAACACGUGGACAACCUGCCCCCCGGUUCGGGAUAGCCCAGGGAAACCUGGAUCAAUACCGGAUGCGAGGGCGGCCGCACAAGCGGCCGUCGGGAAAGGCGCUUCGGCGCCGCCGGGGGAUGGGUCCGCGUCCCAUUAGCUAGACGGUGGGGUAACGGCCCACCGUGGCGAUGAUGGGUAGCCGGCCUGAGAGGGUGGACGGCCACAUUGGAACUGAGACACGGUCCAGACUCCUACGGGAGGCAGCAGCUAAGAAUCUUCCGCAAUGGGCGAAAGCCUGACGGAGCGACGCCGCGUGAACGAAGAAGGCCGUGAGGUUGUAAAGUUCUUUUCGGGAGGGGGAACGAGGCUGCCAGGCAAUGGGCGGCCGAUGACGUGAAUCCCGGAAUAAGCCCCGGCUAACUACGUGCCAGCAGCCGCGGUAACACGUAGGGGGCGAGCGUUGUUCGGAAUCAUUGGGCGUAAAGGGCGUGCAGGCGGCCGCCAAAGUCCGGCGUGAAAGACCCAGGCUCAACCUGGGGGGUGCGCCGGAUACUGGGCGGCUUGAGUACAGGAGGGGACGGCGGAAUUCCAGGUGUAGGGGUGAAAUCUGUAGAUAUCUGGAGGAACACCGAUGGCGAAGGCGGCCGUCUGGCCAUGUACUGACGCUGAGGCGCGAAGGUGCGGGGAGCAAACAGGUUUAGAUACCCUGGUAGUCCGCACAG
RNAcentral lists this ribosomal RNA (806 nucleotides) under uncultured bacterium. RNAcentral describes it as "bacterial SSU rRNA". It matches the Rfam family "Bacterial small subunit ribosomal RNA", at positions 8 to 802 of the family's 1533-position model. The record is from RNAcentral.